AGCAGCCGCGGUAAUUCCAGCUCCAAUAGCGUAUAUUAAAGUUGUUGCAGUUAAAAAGCUCGUAGUUGAAUUUCGGGAUCAAUGCGUCGGUCGUGCCUUCGGUACGUACUAGCGUCAUUGAUUCCUCCCUUCUGAAGAUCCGUGAUGUCAUUAAUUUGGUGUUACGGGGAAUCAGGACUGUUACCUUGAAAAAUUAGAGUGUUUAAAGCAGGCUAACGCUUGAAUACAUUAGCAUGGAAUAAUGAAAUAGGACGUUCGAACCUAUUUUGUUGGUUUCUAGGAUCGACGUAAUGAUUAAUAGGGAUAGUUGGGGGCAUUAGUAUUCAAUUGUCAGAGGUGAAAUUCUUGGAUUUAUUGAAGACUAACUACUGCGAAAGCAUUUGCCAAGGAUGUUUUCAUUAAUCAAGAACGAAAGUUAGGGGAUCGAAGACGAUCAGAUACCGUCGUAGUCUUAACCAUAAACUAUGCCGACUAGGGAUCGGAUGAUGUUAAUUUUUAAUGUACUCAUUCGGCG
RNAcentral lists this ribosomal RNA (514 nucleotides) under uncultured Glomus. RNAcentral's name for it is "SSU rRNA". It matches the Rfam family "Eukaryotic small subunit ribosomal RNA", at positions 569 to 1085 of the family's 1831-position model. The record is from RNAcentral. Lineage: Eukaryota; Fungi; Glomeromycota; Glomeromycetes; Glomerales; Glomeraceae.